Molecule: long non-coding RNA, 1437 nt
Organism: Cyprinus carpio carpio
Lineage: Eukaryota; Metazoa; Chordata; Actinopteri; Cypriniformes; Cyprinidae
Source: Ensembl
UUCGGAUUCAGACAGACCUGCAGAGAUUCAUUCUGAUGAUUCAAAGAGAGACGCUCACAGACAAGAAGAUACAUCAUCAAAAGUGUAUUUCAGUUUACACAGCUCCCACAUCAAAUGUUGCACUUCAAAUGUGGUGUAGUUUCUGGAUUAUGCUCACAGAAGGUGGUGGUAAUGUGCAAUAGUUUGUGUGAUCUGCCAAAAGUUGAAAAUUAUGAAGAAGAAAGAUGAAGAAGUUGAUGAAGAAGAAAAAAAUCAAGAAGAAGAAGAUGAUGAUUUGUAUUUUCAAAUUCAUGUAUGUAUUGUAAUUAACUGAUUUCUGAAACUAUAUGUAUGUAUGUCACGGAUAUGUUCAGUUUAGUUCAGUUCCUGUCAUGUCUGUUAUGAGUUCUCAUUAGUUGCCAUGGUUGAUGAUUAGUUAAUCCCUGUCCAGCUGUUCCUGUUUAGUUCCCUCAUUUACCUCAUGUGUAUUUAUACUCCAUAUUCUGUUCUGUCCUUUGUCGGUUAUUAUUUAGUGUUAUGUGUUGUACUAGCUUCUUUGAAGUAUGAAUCCAUGUCUGUAUUCUUCAUUCCUCUACAACCCGUGACAAAAUACAUCAAAAUGCACACUUUAGAAGAACUGUUUUUUUCACCUUGGGGAAUAAGUCAGUCUGUGUAUUUUUGUCCGACUGGUAUAUCCUAACAUUGUGUUAGGGCAAGAGAAAAAAACAAAAACAAAAAAACAUGGAAAGACAUUAAUACACAUCGCUUUUCAAGUUCAAGUCCCCCAGCGUUAAUCUACUCUCCUGUUUGGUUUCUUUGUCAGACAAAAUGUCAGAUUCGGCAUUAUGAUUGGUCGGAUCAGUGUCAAUCUAGCUCCUAGUGAAGGGUCAAUUCUUUGCGAUCUCACAAUGUUCCAUUAUUGUCAAUGACUACACUGCAUAAUGAAACUCAAACACAGCAACAAAGAUGCACUGCUAUCCAGACCUAAAAAGACAUGGCAGAUUACCUGUACAAAAUAACCAGUAAGAAACAGUGACCUUGAGCAAGUACAGACAAGCUCACAGCAGAGAUGGGCAGACACAGGAAAACAUGCUGCUGCAGGAAGAGAGGCUAGGAGAGGCACACUGCCACCAAAACUAAAAUUCCUCACAGAAUGCACAAAAUAAAUGUACACAUAUACACCAGAACUUUGAGUCUCUGUCAAAUGAUGAGGAACUGUUACUAGGGGAAUGUUCAGACAGCACGGUAUGUGUUUGCCUGUCACAAAACAUGAGGGACUGUGAGGGAUCAGCUCCAGUCUGUCUCCUGCAUGCUUUAUUAAUAAUCUUUUGUAUUGUAUUGUAUUACGUAUUGUUUAUUGCGUUACAGUUAUUUUCUUCUACUUGUGUACCUCUUAUAUUCUUAUACUUCAAUUACUGUUUUUGUACUGUUCUUUAUGUUAUUUUGCACUGCUUCUAC